AAAAAAACUUGACCCCAGAGUAUGUCAGAUCCGCCACAAAUACAGGAGAUCCACUGUUCACACGGACAGAGUCUCCCCUGUAUUUGCACGGCGUCGCACAAGUACAAGAGUACAACCAGGAUACAACCACCACUAGAUGAAUAUAAAGAUAACUAUACAUUCAUACAUUCACCAUUCACAUCACAGUUUUACAUUCAAUGUUUAAACAGAAAUCCACGAAAAAUUCUUUUGAAAACUGUUUCCUACACGGAAACUUUCAUUCGUUAAAAACGCUACCACGAGGGGUAGAAAAUCUUUUAUUUUACAAAAUCCAGAAAUCCACAUUUUCAAAUGUAAAUAAACACUGAACCACAUAAACCAACUAAACUAUUCAUCAACCAAAAUAAGAAGGGUAAGAAAGUAAACCGAAUUAACCUGGGCCGAAAGCUCUAUCGACCGCUACACGCGUACCUCACGUCUCGUCCCACUACUCAUCGCCCGUGAUACCUGAAAAAUGGUGGGGGAGGUGAGAACAUGUAAACAUGUCUCCCCUCCCAGUGGGUACCGCAAGCCGAAGAAGGCGAGGAGUACUCACCGGAUCAGGAAGAACUAUACAACAACACGAGUCAGUGGGAAUACAGUAGGAACAAUAAUAUAUGAACAGAAUGUAUAAGAACGACUACCGCUACUGUAAAGAAGAAUAUAAAACAUACCUGGGUAUCAAACUAUAGUAGUAAAACUAGUAUAUAGAAAGAACUGUAAGUAUGCAUGCAACAACAGCUACUAUAGACAUAUGCGUCAACCGGACAAGAAGUCCAAAAUACCCAAUCUAAACCGCCGUGUCGGUCUAAGGACCUCAGGCAAAAGCCCACUAACACUCUACCUGCAUGUAACCCAGUCCUGACCGCUGGGCUCACGGGUUGGCACAAGCAACCACUUUUCGGAAAAAGAACACCCCUUGCGGUGGAUCAGACCGCCGGUGUUCGUGAAAUGCGAACGAGUCGGGCAAUCAAUGCUGAUAUGCUCAAAGGCUAACCGUCGGCAACCAGCCGACAAUCCUGCCCACAGGGCUCACCGACCGUAUAGGUCAUCGACUGUAAAGAAGCACAAGAACCGACCACUCAGGUCAACUAGGAUGGAACGACUCUACAUCCUCUCAACUGUAUGCAAGUACUGACUAAUCAAGUCAACUGGGAUGGAACAACUCAACAUCCUACCAAAAGUAUGUAGAUACUGAUCAAUAGGUCAACUACUGUAUAUAUGCAAGAAUCGAUCAACAAGUCAUCUGAGUAUAUAAUCUAGAACUACCGUCAGCCAUAGCCGACAAUCCUACCCCUCAGGGUACACCGAUCUCAAAGGUCAUCAAACGACAGAAGUUAAGGAACCGAUCGACCAGGUCACCGAUCUCACAAGAAAUCACGAAACCGCUCUACUCUAAACAUGAAACUGGAUAUGCAGAAUAGCUAAGUAGAGCAACAAAGAAACAUGGUGUAGCUACUCUACCCAUACUCAUGAUACUAAAUAUAAAGAGAACAACCGAGUAGAGAGUAACCGAAACAACAUGGUGCUAGGCUCAACACUAUAUAUCAAGAUGUAUAUAUGCUAGAUAAUAAUGAAAGAGCAAAGGUAAGAAACCAUCACCGAGCGUGCACCACUGUACCGACGUCGGAUCGAAGUACCCACCUGUACAA
Molecule: long non-coding RNA, 1670 nt
Filed under: Ananas comosus (pineapple)
Lineage: Eukaryota; Viridiplantae; Streptophyta; Magnoliopsida; Poales; Bromeliaceae
Description: long non-coding RNA (ACOM_LNC039720)
Source: RNAcentral